Molecule: long non-coding RNA, 587 nt
Organism: Entelurus aequoreus (snake pipefish)
Lineage: Eukaryota; Metazoa; Chordata; Actinopteri; Syngnathiformes; Syngnathidae
Exons: 4
Source: RefSeq, a predicted model, not a curated record
UUCAAAACUGACAUGAGGCUACAACAAAAACAGUUUAUCUCCACAACAACUGCUCUGGUGGAAAACAUCCCUUAGAAUGUCCUCUUUUAUUCGGCAUAAACGCUACGCAGCAAAGUUACAAAAUGAGAACAAACUAAACCUUUCAAACGCGAACCCGCAGUAAAGAAAACUGACCUGGCAACCUGAAGCGUGUGCUGAGGAGCUGCAUCACAAGGACCUCCAAGCCAAGCAGACUCCAGCUCGCUAGGAAGCGGAGGAGAAAGAGAGAGGAGCUGCUUCCGGUUGACGUCUCGGGACACGUUCCAAUAUGAAAACGUGAGCGGCCGCGUGCAGGAGAAGGAGGAGGGUUGGAGCGACUGAAAAGUCAACACAAAAGUAUCUAUUGGAGAACUGUGAAAACAUACUAAAAACCCUGUCUUCUGCGCAACUGGCUUCCAGCGUGAAUCUGUGAGACUAAAGGCUGGUCCUAAAGAAGUAGGCAUUUUUCGGAGGUCUCAAGAAGGUAAGAAAUACAAAAGUGUGUGUGUAUGUGUAUGUGUGUGUGUGUGUGUGUGUGUGUGUGUGUGUGUGUGUGUGUGUGUGUGUGU